UACGGGGGGGGCAAGCGUUGUUCGGAAUUACUGGGCGUAAAGGGCGCGUAGGCGGCCUGCUAAGUCGGACGUGAAAUCCCCCGGCUCAACCGGGGAACUGCGUCCGAUACUGGUGGGCUCGAAUCCGGGAGAGGGAUGUGGAAUUCCAGGUGUAGCGGUGAAAUGCGUAGAUAUCUGGAGGAACACCGGUGGCGAAGGCGGCAUCCUGGACCGGCAUUGACGCUGAGGCGCGAAAGCGUGGGGAGCGAACAGG
RNAcentral lists this ribosomal RNA (253 nucleotides) under uncultured bacterium. RNAcentral describes it as "partial 16S ribosomal RNA". It matches the Rfam family "Bacterial small subunit ribosomal RNA", at positions 524 to 776 of the family's 1533-position model. The record is from RNAcentral.